CUAGCCGUAAACGAUGGAUGCUAGGUGUGGGUGGUAUUGACCCCAUCCGUGCCGAAGCUAACGCGUUAAGCAUCCCGCCUGGGGACUACGGCCGCAAGGUUAAAACUCAAAGGAAUUGACGGGGACCCGCACAAGCAGCGGAGCGUGUGGUUUAAUUCGAUGCUACACGAAGAACCUUACCCAGGUUUGACAUACAGGUAGUAGUGAAGCGAAAGCAGAACGACUCGCAAGAGAGCCUGCACAGGUGC
Molecule: ribosomal RNA, 248 nt
Filed under: uncultured bacterium
Lineage: Bacteria
Description: partial 16S ribosomal RNA
Rfam family: Bacterial small subunit ribosomal RNA
Source: RNAcentral